RNAcentral lists this ribosomal RNA (253 nucleotides) under uncultured bacterium. RNAcentral describes it as "partial 16S ribosomal RNA". It matches the Rfam family "Bacterial small subunit ribosomal RNA", at positions 524 to 776 of the family's 1533-position model. The record is from RNAcentral.
UACGUAGGGACCAAGCGUUGUUCGGAUUUACUGGGCGUAAAGGGCGCGUAGGCGGCUUGGCAAGUGGAAGGUGAAAUCCCUCGGCUUAACCGAGGAACUGCCCUCCAAACUGCUUCGCUUGAGACCGGGAGAGGUGAGUGGAAUUCCCAGUGUAGCGGUGAAAUGCGUAGAUAUUGGGAGGAACACCAGUGGCGAAGGCGGCUCACUGGACCGGUACUGACGCUGAUGCGCGAAAGCGUGGGGAGCAAACGGG